GUCCCUGUAGCGCAAUGGAUUAGCGUGUUGAACUUCUAACUCAACGGUCUUGGAUUCGAAUCCCACCAGGGAUG
This is a non-coding RNA of Trichonephila clavata, 74 nucleotides long. Lineage: Eukaryota; Metazoa; Arthropoda; Arachnida; Araneae; Nephilidae. The record is from the annotation of a GenBank genome assembly.